This 421-nucleotide ribosomal RNA is filed under the name uncultured bacterium. RNAcentral's name for it is "bacterial SSU rRNA". It matches the Rfam family "Bacterial small subunit ribosomal RNA", at positions 355 to 774 of the family's 1533-position model. The record is from RNAcentral.
UAAGGAAUAUUGGUCAAUGGACGCAAGUCUGAACCAGCCAUGCCGCGUGAAGGAUGAGGGUCCUCUGGAUUGUAAACUUCUUUUAUCUGGGACGAAAACGGGAUUUUUAUCUCAAUUGACGGUACCAGAGGAAUAAGCACCGGCUAACUCCGUGCCAGCAGCCGCGGUAAUACGGAGGGUGCGAGCGUUAUCCGGAUUUACUGGGUUUAAAGGGUGCGUAGGUGGGCUUAUAAGUCAGUGGUGAAAUCUCCGAGCUUAACUUGGAAACUGCCGUUGAUACUAUAGGUCUUGAAUUAUCUGGAGGUAAGCGGAAUAUGUCAGGUAGCGGUGAAAUGCUUAGAUAUGACAUAGAACACCAAUUGCGAAGGCAGCUUACUACAUAUAAAUUGACGCUGAGGCACGAAAGCGUGGGGAUCAAACA